RNAcentral lists this ribosomal RNA (378 nucleotides) under Escherichia coli. RNAcentral's name for it is "partial 23S ribosomal RNA". It matches the Rfam family "Bacterial large subunit ribosomal RNA", at positions 1291 to 1671 of the family's 2925-position model. Lineage: Bacteria; Pseudomonadati; Pseudomonadota; Gammaproteobacteria; Enterobacterales; Enterobacteriaceae. The record is from RNAcentral.
CGAAUGCUGACAUAAGUAACGAUAAAGCGGGUGAAAAGCCCGCUCGCCGGAAGACCAAGGGUUCCUGUCCAACGUUAAUCGGGGCAGGGUGAGUCGACCCCUAAGGCGAGGCCGAAAGGCGUAGUCGAUGGGAAACAGGUUAAUAUUCCUGUACUUGGUGUUACUGCGAAGGGGGGACGGAGAAGGCUAUGUUGGCCGGGCGACGGUUGUCCCGGUUUAAGCGUGUAGGCUGGUUUUCCAGGCAAAUCCGGAAAAUCAAGGCUGAGGCGUGAUGACGAGGCACUACGGUGCUGAAGCAACAAAUGCCCUGCUUCCAGGAAAAGCCUCUAAGCAUCAGGUAACAUCAAAUCGUACCCCAAACCGACACAGGUGGUCAGG